UACGUAGGGGGCAAGCGUUGUCCGGAAUCAUUGGGCGUAAAGCGCGUGUAGGCGGUCCGGUAAGUCCGCUGUGAAAGUCCAGGGCUCAACCCUGGGAUGCCGGUGGAUACUGUCGGGCUAGAGUACGGAAGAGGCGAGUGGAAAUCCCGGUGUAGCGGUGAAAUGCGCAGAUAUCGGGAGGAACACCAAUUGCGAAGGCAGCUCGCUGGGACGUUACUGACGCUGAGACGCGAAAGCGUGGGGAGCAAACAGG
RNAcentral lists this ribosomal RNA (253 nucleotides) under uncultured bacterium. Its description in RNAcentral is "partial 16S ribosomal RNA". It matches the Rfam family "Bacterial small subunit ribosomal RNA", at positions 524 to 776 of the family's 1533-position model. The record is from RNAcentral.